UUUUCAAAUUUCCUUCUUUUUUGUUACCCCUUUACUAAGUGUGAUAAAGGGACAAACACAACAUAAUCAUCUACUUAAGUGUUAUAUAUAUACAAUAUUUUUUUUUAUCUUUUUUUUAGUGUUACUCCUUUACUUCGUGUGAUAAAAGGGUAAACACAACAUAUUCAUCUACUUAAGUGUUCAAUACAAACACACAACAAUAUUACAUGACCUUAAUACACUAUAAAUUGACUAAAUCAUAUUCUAUUUGGUACAACAAAGAAAAAUAUGGCUAGAACUCUCAAGUUUGUUUAUUCUAUGAUUUUAUUUCUUUCCCUGUUUCUUGUUGCCAACGGGUAAAAAUUUUCUGUAUAGAUGUGGCUGAUUGUCCAAAGGAUUUGUAUCCUUUACUUUAUAAGUGCAUUUACAACAAAUGUAUAGUGUUUACGAGGAUUCCGUUUCCUUUUGAUUGGAUAUAAGUAUCUCGCCGAAGAGGGUACACAAACGCCAUGCAAGGAGGAGUGAGUUCUUGCACUAGCAAAAAAUCUAUGCAACAUACCUUAUAGUUAUACCGUGAGUUGCCAUUUAAUCUUUUUAGUAGCAUCCAAUAAUUGUAUCUUUUAUUUUUUUUCUUUUUACAACUUCAUGGAUGUUGAAACUAUGACUCUACACUCAAAGAUGUUGAUAAUAAAAUGAAAUUAGGCACUAAAUAAUAUUAUAACUGAAUUGUGUCUUAUCUUAUUUUUGAAUGUAUCACCAUUGUGAGAUUUGGUAGACUUUGAUGUUUUCAAAUGCAUCGAGAACUGGGAUCUCAGCUUCUCUGCCAUGUGAUUUGAGCAACAAAAGAUGAACUUAGUUUUAUUUCAUCAUUAUUUGCUUGUAGUAACCACUCCAUAUCUUCCAUGGUGAAUUUUCACUACUUAUGAACAACCUAUCUAGCCGAAAACAAGAAUUAAAACAACAUUACAAGAAUUUCUGGUUAUAGAGAAAUUGAUUGCAAACAAACCACAAUUGCUUAAAUAAUCGGCAAGAACCGACAAGGCGAAGUAGUGCUGCUACCAUGGGAUUAACAAACUUUAUGUGGAAUAAAAUUUUAUAAGAACAACGCUUUUAAAAAACUUUUAUGGAGAUUUGAUAAAAACAAGUUUUAUUGAAAUUUGCUUGAACAAUCACAAACAAUGAAUUAACAAAUGUCAAAUAUAUGUUGAAUAAAAUUUUAUCUUAGAUUAAGAGAUUCACGAUACAAAUCUUUUGUCACAAUCAAUUAUUAACAAUCCUUAAACAAGAUACAAAACAAUAUACAAUUUCAAACCAAAUCUAUAUGACAAUAAACCUAAUUAUCAAUUGAAAACACAAAACACAUGAAUUUGAUUAAUUGAAUUGGUAUUGCAAUUAAUUGAUCCAAUAUGAAGUUGUUUUAACCUAAAUCAAAAGGAUUUAGAUUAAUCUAUUGAGAAAAUACUACUUAGAUCAAAACUAGCAAUUCACUAAUCAAUUAUUCAAAUAAGCAAGUGCUAUAUCAAAAGUAGAGAGAGAGAGAGAGAGAGAGAACACCAAUGUUUAUAGUAGUUACUUCAAAUUAAAGCACUAAUUCUUCACCUCCAAUGUAAAAUAAACCUCCCCCAAACUUCAAGUACCCCUUGAAUUUGGUGCUCCUUGAAUCUUCGGAUCCUUGAAUUACCCGUGCACUCCUUCGAUCUCUUCACUCGAGUCUUCAAUGCUACGUCCGGUAAAAGAACCCCCUUCGAUAUCAAGAACGGUUAGAAAGACCCCUAAGUCCUUUGGAAGUGGAAUGAGAUUAUUCACUUCCUUUGAAGCCUUGAUUAAGCCCAAUCAAUCUUCUUGAGAGAACCAACU
This 1836-nucleotide long non-coding RNA is filed under the name Medicago truncatula (barrel medic). RNAcentral describes it as "lncRNA gene13619". The record is from RNAcentral. Lineage: Eukaryota; Viridiplantae; Streptophyta; Magnoliopsida; Fabales; Fabaceae.